This 418-nucleotide long non-coding RNA is filed under the name Brachypodium distachyon (stiff brome). RNAcentral describes it as "long non-coding RNA (BDIS_LNC005158)". The record is from RNAcentral. Lineage: Eukaryota; Viridiplantae; Streptophyta; Magnoliopsida; Poales; Poaceae.
GCCGGGUCCGCGCGCGCCAUGUCGCCGUCGCGGCGAAAAUAUAAUCCCCGGCGGGGACGGUCGCCGUCGCUGUCGUCAUGGACACGCGUCGUGCGGAGAGAAGCCAUGGACCCGCGCGGGGGUGUCGGGUUCGGAGUAGAGAUUUGCGGGAGAUCUUGGAGGACCCAGGUGCAUCCCUCCUGCCCGAACCGGAGGCAGGUGCUGGCCUGGAUCGAUCGAACAGGAAUAGGAAAAAAGAAAAAGAAAAAGAAAAAGAAAAUCAUCAGCGUCUUGCCAUCUUUGCACCACCAACGCCAAGCCGGCGCCGUAUCUUCUCCCAACUGAACCAGAUCACGAAGACUCGACUCCCUUCGGUCUCCGCUUCCGACGUCCCUGUUUCCAUUAUUUUUACUUUGUUUUUCUAGCACUUUUUUCUUUG